CCCUUAGUUGUUCUGGGCCGCACGCGUGCUACACUGAGUGGAUCAGCGGGUCAGGUUGCGCGAAAGCGUUUCCUAAUCUUGAAAUCCGCUCGUGAUGGGGAUUGACGGUUGCAAUUUUCCGUCAUGAACGAGGAAUACCUUGUAAGCGCGGGUCAUCAUCCCGCGCUGAAUACGUCCCUGCCCUUUGUACACACCGCCCGUCGCUCCUACCGAUUGAGUGGUCCGGUGAGGCUUUGGGAUCUGAGCGGAAAGAGCGUUUCGCUGUUUCUGCUCGGAAAACUCAGUCGAACCUUAUCAUUUAGAGGAAGGAGAAGUCGUAACA
RNAcentral lists this ribosomal RNA (322 nucleotides) under uncultured eukaryote. Its description in RNAcentral is "partial 18S ribosomal RNA". It matches the Rfam family "Eukaryotic small subunit ribosomal RNA", at positions 1470 to 1796 of the family's 1831-position model. The record is from RNAcentral.